This 2082-nucleotide long non-coding RNA is filed under the name Prunus persica (peach). RNAcentral describes it as "long non-coding RNA (PPER_LNC008024)". The record is from RNAcentral. Lineage: Eukaryota; Viridiplantae; Streptophyta; Magnoliopsida; Rosales; Rosaceae.
GAAGCUAUAAAGGUGACAGCCUUUUUAUUUUUUUAUUUUUUUUAUUUUUUUAGUAUUAUUCAUGGUCUUUAACAAUGGCAGAUCCAGGAUUUGGAAGUCAAGUAGGCGGAACUUACACGUUGCAUGGAUACGAAUACGGAUACUCUGAUACUGAAAAUUUCUAAAAACUAGGAUACGUGAUACGAGGAAUUGACUCGGGUGUGCAAAAAACAAAUUGGGUGUCCAAACAAUUUUACCCAAUCCUAAAUAAUUAUAGAGUCCAAUAUCACCCAUAUUUAGUCACGUGACUCCCUAUCACUUUUAUCCCUCUCUCCUCUCUCCUCUCUUGCUCUCUCCCCCCUUCUUUUCUUUUCUUUUUUCUCUUUGCCCUGGGCUUCUUGUUUUCUUCUCUCUUUUCUUUUUUUUUUUUUUUUGGUAUUCUUUCUUCACUUUCUCUUUUCCUUUGGUCUUGUUGCUUCAUAUCUACCUAUUUUUAUUUCCUGACAAUUUUUGGGUAGGCAACUGCCUACCCAAAACAAGGCUAGAUCCAACAGUGGUCCUCGAGAGUUGCCUACCCAAAACAAGGCUAGAUCCAACAGUGGUCCUCGAGGUUAAUAUACGUGUUCACAAGUAGUCCCUGGUGUAAGUUUUCGUCAAAAGUUCCAUGAGUUUGUUAAUGUGAGGAAUAUAUGUCGAGCCCACAUAUCCAACAAUAUAAUACCAUGUGAAUUUAAAUAUGUAAAAAUAAAAAAAAAACAAUUUUAAUUGUUAAAAAUGGGAAAAUCAUGAAGAAAAAAAAAAAUCUACAUCUUUUAAACAAUUAAAUUAGAUUAAAAUUGAAAACAAAAAGUAUAUAUCUCCAUCUCCAUCAAUCUAGGCCCUUGACUUUAAUCACUCCACCCUAGCCUGCUGGUGUGAGAGCAAAUAAUUCGGCUGCCAAUCACAAGACGCCAUGUGGACAAGAAGAAUUAUCACAAGUCAAUUAAUUAAACCCAUUUAUUUGGCCAUUAAUUGAUACGAACAAAUAGGGAUAUUAUCUUAAAAAUGGAUAAUAUCUUUAUUUAAAAAGAUAAUAUCACCAAUUAAGAUAUUAUCCUAAUUUGGAGAUAUCAUCAUCAAAUUAGGAGAAUUUAUCCCAAUCAAAUCCCUAAUGGACUCAAACUCUACAAUUUGGUGAAAGAAUAAACUCCUUCCAAAUAAGAGUUUAUUCUUUGAAAAACCCUAGAUGCCUAGAGCACUAUAAAUACAUGGCUUCAUUCAAUACUAAAGAUAAUUCUAAAUCUAGUCUUGGAACCCUACAAAAUUCUCCACUCUCUCUCCCUAGCAGACGGCGCCACCACCGUCGCCGACCAUGCCUCUCUCCUCUCUCCAUAUUUUUAUACACGGCUCUGGUCACCACACACUGCUCCUGCCACCCGGUUCUCCCCGUAGAACUUUUUUUUUAGCUAUUGUUUCUCGUAGAUACAAUCGACCUAACUUAGGCAUCGGAAGGCCUUUGGCAAACACCCCCAGAUGUGGUCUAUUUACUCCGGUCUUUUUACAAGAACCGAGGAAGAGAGAGAAAGAAGAUCAAAGGUUGAAGAAUCCACAAGUGAAUAUUCUCCCAUGAGGAUUUUUGCACAAACAGUUGGCCAUCCCUCAAGCCACCACCCCAACACCACCAUCCCUCCCAGCAAUUCCCCCAGCACCACAAUCAAUAUAGACUCAAAAACAGAUUGGGAAGGUGUACUGGUGCAAUUCAAUUGCUUGGUUGAUUUGGAGUGCAAAGGGAGGACAAGACGGUAGUCAAGGCGGCCGGGGAUGUUGUAGCCUCGAGCAAUUGCACUAAGAUCUUCUGAAAUUUCACAUGUUGCCUGCUGGUUGGACUGACACGACCCGACCCAAAUUCCACUUUAGAAUCUGAGCCGAACCCUGUUAGUAUCUGACACCUGGCUAAUGCCGGGCACAAAGACCAAACUGCCAUUCUAACUAAAAAAAUCCACUUUUAAAAUAAUAUUAUCUUCUGCCGAAAAAUUCGGCAAAGUUUCCCCUGUAAUUUACUCAUUCCCCAAAAUUUUCAUCUGUCAUCAAACAUUUAAAAUUUCUCAAGCGUUCAGCAUAUAU